CAGCAGCCGCGGUAAUACGUAGGUGGCAAGCGUUAUCCGGAAUUAUUGGGCGUAAAGCGCGCGUAGGCGGUUUUUUAAGUCUGACGUGAAAGCCCACGGCUCAACCGUGGAGGGUCAUUGGAAACUGGAAAACUUGAGUGCAGAAGAGGAAAGUGGAAUUCCAUGUGUAGCGGUGAAAUGCGCAGAGAUAUGGAGGAACACCAGUGGCGAAGGCGACUUUCUGGUCUGUAACUGACGCUGAUGUGCGAAAGCGUGGGGAUCAAACAGGAUUAGAGACCCCUGUAGUCCCUGUCUCUUAUAC
This 301-nucleotide ribosomal RNA is filed under the name uncultured bacterium. RNAcentral's name for it is "partial 16S ribosomal RNA". It matches the Rfam family "Bacterial small subunit ribosomal RNA", at positions 509 to 807 of the family's 1533-position model. The record is from RNAcentral.